UGUGUUUGAAACACCGCUUUUCUUAUUUCAUCGUUUCACGCUCUCUCUUCUCCGCCGUAGAAAAUUCUAAGGUUUCUAUCGAUUCCCUGAUCCAGCAAUCAAUCUGCACAGUAGCAAAUCUAGAGUUUGGAGCAGUUUAUUCAUAUUUUUCCUACUAAUCCAAUAUAAUCAAUCGGUGGAGGUUCCUCUAUAAUAAGCAAGGAUGGGAAGCUAUCAGUUGAACAGUUACAGGCCCUAACUGUGAAAGUUUUAAGAUUGUAGCGUUAGUACGUGGAAACGUUUUCGUGAUAAAAAUUUCUUCAUACUGUCUGGCAUAGGCCGAAGAAGCUACACACGAGUAAAGGAUGAGGAGUGCUAGGCAGAUGAGUGGAAGUUGAAAGAAGAAGAAAAAGCUCAACAAGCCUAAAAAGAAGAUACAUCUGCCUUAAAGUUUGAAUAACAAAACACUUUUCCACCCCUCCCAUUCUAACUGUCAUUCUGCCAACAGAAACAAACUUCACGGUGAAGGAUAGAUACAAUACAAGUAUUAUGGACAUCAACAGCAGUUUGCAGAGGGACGGUGUCUUAGUACAUCUUCAUCAUAAAGAAGGUAUGCAGUUUCAGAUGGGUGAGAUCGGGAGAGGUCAUUUUGGUUGCACUUGCUCUGCCAGCCUAAGUUCAAGAAAGAGAGCUCAAGGGUCAGGAGGUUGCUGUUAAAGUCACCCCAAAACCAAAGGUUUGUAUAACAUGAGAAUAGCUAUUUCUGAGUCCCAGGAAAAAGAAGCCAGAAGAUAAAUAGCGGAGCUACCGAAGCAGCCGCAGAAAGCAACUCAAAGGCUGAUGAAGAAAAAUUAUUCACUGUCACAGUGAAGCAAAAUCAUUCACUGAAGAGCUUCGAAAGUCUCAAGAAGAAGCAGAGCAAGCAAAGGCUGGGGCAAGUACAAUGGAUACCAUUUUAUUUGCAACUUAGGAAUAAACUAAGGCUGCUAAGGGUUCAGAAGAAGAAUAGAAGGGUCAAAGGCGAGAAACUGAGUCUAGGAAGUAGGAACUGAACAAACCCAAUCUCACAAGGAAAUCACAUAAGUUAGUCUGAUGUGAAGAAGUUGAUUAUGUAAGAUCUGUUUUAUAAAUGCAUAAGUCUACGUUAUAAUAGAAGAGUUAAGUCAUAUCAGUUUCUGAAUUUUAGUUACCACCAGUAACUUACUUUAUUAAUAACAUUUUAUUUCAAAAGCU
This is a long non-coding RNA of Brassica napus (rape), 1212 nucleotides long. RefSeq lists it as uncharacterized. The record is from RefSeq and is a predicted model, not a curated record. The transcript has 5 exons. Lineage: Eukaryota; Viridiplantae; Streptophyta; Magnoliopsida; Brassicales; Brassicaceae.